AAAAAUCUAUAUGAAAAAAUUGUAUAUAUAAAUAAACUUUUUAUGAUUUAUAUAAUUUAAUUUAAAUUUAUUUUACAUGUAAAUUUUAGUAUUAAUUUUUAAUUAUUUUAAUAAUAAUUAUUAAAAAUUACAGUAAUUAAAAUUAAAAAUUUAAGAAAUUAAGAUUUAGUAAUAUUUAAUUUAUUAACAAAUUUUGUGCCAGCAGUUGCGGUUAUACAAAAAAUAAUUUAAAUUUUAUCAGUAUAUAAUAAAUAAAAAUUAAUUAUUUAAAUUAAAUAUUAAAUUAUUAGGUGAAAUUUUAAUUUAAUUAAAAUUUAUGUUAAUUUUAUGAUUUAUUAAAUUUUAAAAAAAAACUAGGAUUAGAUACCCUAUUAUUAAAAAUUAAAUUUAUAAUACUAAAAUAAUAGGUAAUAAUUUAUUGAAACUUAAAUAAUUUGGCGGUAUUUUAGUUCAUUUAGAGGAAUCUGUUUAAUAAUUGAUAAUCCACGAAUAAAUUUACUUAAUUUAUUAUUUUGUAUAUCGUUGUUAAAAAAAUAUUUUUUAAUAAAAAUAAUAUUUUAAAAUUUUAAUAAAAAAUUAAUUCAGAUCAAGAUGCAGAUUAUAAUUAAGAAUAUAAUGGAUUACAAUAAAUAAAUUUAAAUGAAUAAUAUUUUUUAAAAAAUAUUUGAAGGUGGAUUUAAAUGUAAUUUUAAUUAAUUUAUUAAAAUGAUUAUAUAUUAAAAUAUGUACAUAUUGUCCGUCACUUUCAUUAAUAAAUUGGAAUAAGUCGUAACAAAGUAGAGGUACUGGAAAGUGUUUCUAGAAAGAA
This 808-nucleotide non-coding RNA is filed under the name Parnassius tenedius. Lineage: Eukaryota; Metazoa; Arthropoda; Insecta; Lepidoptera; Papilionidae. The record is from RNAcentral.